Molecule: ribosomal RNA, 460 nt
Filed under: uncultured bacterium
Lineage: Bacteria
Description: partial 16S ribosomal RNA
Rfam family: Bacterial small subunit ribosomal RNA
Source: RNAcentral
CCUACGGGUGGCAGCAGUGAGGAAUAUUGGUCAAUGGACGGGAGCCUGAACCAGCCAAGCCGCGUGCGGGAAGAAGGUACAGCGUAUCGUAAACCGCUUUUGUCAGGGAACAAACGCGGAGACUAGUCCCCGGCUGAGGGUACCUUACGAAAAAGCAUCGGCUAACUACGUGCCAGCAGCCGCGGUAAUACGUAGGUGGCAAGCGUUGUCCGGAUUUACUGGGUUUAAAGGGAGCGUAGAUGGGUUGUUAAGUCAGUGGUGAAAGUCUGCGGCUCAACCGUAAAAUUGCAAUUGAUACUGGCAGUCUAGAGUACAGUUGAGGUAGGCGGAAUGUGUGGUGUAGCGGUGAAAUGCUUAGAUAUCACGAAGAACUCCGAUUGCGAAGGCAGCUUACUAAACUGCCACUGACAUUGAUGCUCGAAAGUGUGGGUAUCAAACAGGAUUAGAUACCCGAGUAGUC